AACGCACGAGACCUGCGGACCUGCGGAAGGAUCAUUACCGAGUGAGGGCCCUCUGGGUCCAACCUCCCACCCGUGUUUAUCGUACCUUGUUGCUUCGGCGGGCCCGCCUCACGGCCGCCGGGGGGCACCUGCCCCCGGGCCCGCGCCCGCCGAAGACAUCAUUGAACUCUGUCUGAAGAUUGCAGUCUGAGUAGAUUAGCUAAAUCAGUUAAAACUUUCAGCAACGGAUCUCUAGAUCGG
This 240-nucleotide unclassified non-coding RNA is filed under the name soil metagenome. Its description in RNAcentral is "partial contains 5.8S ribosomal RNA, internal transcribed spacer 2, and large subunit ribosomal RNA". The record is from RNAcentral.